GAAAUAGCGCCACAACCGGCGUCCUUCCUGACCCUGCGAUCUAUGGCGGCCAUGGCUCCGCUCUUAUGCAGGUCAUUGCCCCAGCAUCGUCCAUGCAGCCUGCAACUCUUGCCAUGCCACCUGCAACCCCUGUCGAUAAAGCUACAACCCAGGCUGUACCCUUCCAGUCCACACGCGACACAGCCGACCAAGGACUGCUGCAACCCAAACAGCAACACCA
This 220-nucleotide long non-coding RNA is filed under the name Volvox carteri. RNAcentral's name for it is "long non-coding RNA (VCAR_LNC000608)". Lineage: Eukaryota; Viridiplantae; Chlorophyta; Chlorophyceae; Chlamydomonadales; Volvocaceae. The record is from RNAcentral.